RNAcentral lists this ribosomal RNA (403 nucleotides) under Verrucomicrobiota bacterium. Its description in RNAcentral is "Verrucomicrobia bacterium partial 16S ribosomal RNA". It matches the Rfam family "Bacterial small subunit ribosomal RNA", at positions 355 to 776 of the family's 1533-position model. The record is from RNAcentral. Lineage: Bacteria; Pseudomonadati; Verrucomicrobiota.
UGGGGAAUAUUGCACAAUGGGCGCAAGCCUGAUGCAGCAACGCCGCGUGAACGAUGAAGGUCUUCGGAUCGUAAAGUUCUGUUGCAGGGGAAGAUAAUGACGGUACCCUGUGAGGAAGCCCCGGCUAACUACGUGCCAGCAGCCGCGGUAAUACGUAGGGGGCUAGCGUUAUCCGGAUUUACUGGGCGUAAAGGGUGCGUAGGUGGUCUUUCAAGUCGGUGGUUAAAGGCUACGGCUCAACCGUAGUUAGCCUCCGAAACUGGAAGACUUGAGUGCAGGAGAGGAAAGUGGAAUUCCCAGUGUAGCGGUGAAAUGCGUAGAUAUUGGGAGGAACACCAGUAGCGAAGGCGGCUUUCUGGACUGCAACUGACACUGAGGCACGAAAGCGGGGGUAGCAAACAGG